CUUUAGGAGGGGGAUAACACCUGGAAACGGUUGCUAAUACCCCAUAUGCUUUCGAGUGAAAUGGAAUUUUCCGCCUAGAGAGAAGCUUGCGGCUGAUUAGCUUGUUGGUGAGGUAAUGGCUUACCAAGGCGACGAUCAGUAUCUGGUUUGAGAGGAUGAUCAGACACACUGGAACUGAGACACGGUCCAGACUCCUACGGGAGGCAGCAGUGGGGAAUUUUCCGCAAUGGGCGAAAGUGACGGAGCAAUACUGCGUGAGGGAUGACGGCCUAUGGGUUGUAAACCUCUUUUUUCAGGGAGGAACAAAAUGACGUGUACCUGAAGAAUAAGCAUCGGCUAACUCCGUGCCAGCAGCCGCGGUAAGACGGAGGAUGCAAGUGUUAUCCGGAAUCACUGGGCGUAAAGCGUCUGUAGGUGGUUUAAUAAGUCAACUGUUAAAUCUUGAAGCUCAACUUCAAAAUCGCAGUCGAAACUAUUAGACUAGAGUAUAGUAGGGGUAAAGGGAAUUUCCAGUGGAGCGGUGAAAUGCGUAGAGAUUGGAAAGAACACCGAUGGCGAAGCACUUUACUGGGCUAUUACUAACACUCAGAGACGAAAGCUAGGGUAGCAAAUGGGAUUAGAUACCCCAGUAGUCCUAGCCGUAAACAAUGGAUACUAGAUGUUGAACAGAUCGACCUGUGCAGUAUUAAAGCUAACGCGUUAAGUAUCCCGCCUGGGAAGUAUGCUCGCAAGAGUGAAACUCA
Molecule: ribosomal RNA, 743 nt
Filed under: uncultured bacterium
Lineage: Bacteria
Description: bacterial SSU rRNA
Rfam family: Bacterial small subunit ribosomal RNA
Source: RNAcentral